UCUGCACAGGCCAGAUGGGAGAGUUGAA
This 28-nucleotide non-coding RNA is filed under the name Homo sapiens (human). The record is from RNAcentral. Lineage: Eukaryota; Metazoa; Chordata; Mammalia; Primates; Hominidae.